This is a non-coding RNA of Branchiostoma floridae (Florida lancelet), 90 nucleotides long. Lineage: Eukaryota; Metazoa; Chordata; Leptocardii; Amphioxiformes; Branchiostomatidae. The record is from Rfam.
GUCUAUUUGUGUGUGUGUGGUGUUCAGCACUAAGGUCAGGAUUGCUAGUGUGUAGACGGUGUUCAGCACUAAGGACAGGAAUGUUAGCAU